Oncorhynchus masou masou (cherry salmon) is the source of this 219-nucleotide long non-coding RNA. RefSeq lists it as uncharacterized. The record is from RefSeq and is a predicted model, not a curated record. Lineage: Eukaryota; Metazoa; Chordata; Actinopteri; Salmoniformes; Salmonidae. The transcript has 4 exons.
AGGGAUUCCAGGGCAUUGCUGGAGAGCCAGGUCCAGAUGGUCGUUCAGGCCCUCUGGGCCCACCUGGACGGACAGGACCAACAGGUAUCCCUGGGCCACUGGGAGAGAGGGGCUUCACUGGGAAGGAAGGUGUGGAGGGACCCCAGGGGCCAGUAGGCAUGUAUGGUUUCCGGGGUAGCAUGGGAAUGCGUGGCACAAAUGGUCACACCGGACAUAGGG